Talpa occidentalis (Iberian mole) is the source of this 1530-nucleotide long non-coding RNA. RefSeq lists it as uncharacterized. NCBI's taxonomy places the organism in Eukaryota, Metazoa, Chordata, Mammalia, Eulipotyphla, Talpidae. The record is from RefSeq and is a predicted model, not a curated record. The transcript has 4 exons.
AGCCUUACGCAUACACACCCAGACACUCUCCUACUCACACACGUGCACACGCAUGCACACCCAUGCCCAGGCCUGCACACACAAUACACACGCCGUCUCACACACACCCCUAUCGCUCGCUCUGCACAUUCCCAGACGCCUCUUUUCUCUGGGCGGCUGCAGAUAGGAUUGCAGAGCCCGGGGCUUGGGGUGCAGGACAGAUGCCAGCUGGAGGGACGGGGCGCAGGCGGGGUCCCCGGGAUGAAAGGGCAGACGCCAGCUUCCAUGUUUCUGUCGUCUACUGUCUCUGUUUAUCCUUCAGAUACAACCUAUAAAGCGACUGUUCAUCUACUUAGUCCUGGACGCUGCCCUGGGGGUGCCGGCCAUGAGAUGACCAGCCAGGCUGCACGCAGAGCCCCCGUAACUGCAGUGAAAUUGCCAUCACACAAGGAUGCGCUGCCAUACAAUGACAUUGAAUCAGAAACCAGCCGAGACAAUGUAUUCAUUCGGGAGAUCCAUAAAUAUUUGGAAAUUGAGCAACACGCUUAUGGAGGACCCUGUCUCAACAAAAAUAAUCAUGCAACAGAACAGGGAGAAUUUUAACUGAAUGAUUUUUUAAAAGCAUAUUAAUAUUUAUGGGAUGAGGCUAAUGGAGUGCGUGGAGAGAAAUGUAUCCCUUUAAAUAUGCCUCCACGAUAAAUCGGCACGUUCACGCUAAGAAAACAGAAGAAAGGAAAAAAGCAAACAAAACGCAGAGCCGCCCAAGGAGUCAGGGGACCAGAGCGAGCCAGCGCCCUAGAAAGCGGAAAAGUAAUAAAAGUGGUGGAACCGAAAGCUGAUUCUUUCAAAAGACGGAUAAAAAUGACAACAUCUCAGCUGGGGUCGUCAAGGGGAAAUAAGGCAGCACCCACAUCCCCCAGACCGGGAACGAAAGAGGGGGACUCCCCCCGAGCUGGCGGAAAUUAAAAGAAUUGACGGGAGCCCUAAGAAAGCUGUUCUGCCAAGAGAUUAGACAAAUCAAAGGGAGUGACCAAAUCCUGGAAAGGCACGCGAGUCUGGAAAGUAAAGAAUCCAAAUAAAACCAUGAGUACCCAUCCAGGAGGCGCCUCGUCGCUAAGAAAGCCAGCAGCCGAAGAGUCCGCUGUCCCAGAAGAUGGGGCUGGAGUAGGCCCUUGGCCAGCACCGUGGGCCGACCUGGAGGUCUGAGGACACAGCAGGGGAGAAGCCACAUCCCAGAAGGUGACGAUGAAAACCCUAUUUACAACAACCAAGCUAUGGAAACAACCUCAGUGCCCAAGGCCAGAGGAUUAGGAAGAUGUGACCUCUAUACACAGUGGAAUACUACGCAGUCGUGAAAAGGAUGAACUCUUGCUAUUUGUGACAACAUGGACAGGUCUGGAGGGGAUGAUGCUGAGUAAAAUAAAUCGGGGAGAAAGACAAAUACUGGAUGAUUUCACUCGUAGGUGGACAAUAGAGAAAUAAAGGAACUUACAAAAUUAAGCACAACAUACCCUAGAAAUAUGACUGCAGAACCGAGACCACAGAGGCGCA